CAUAUGAAAGUGUAAUCGUAUGCUAUCUUAAAUGGUUCCAAAUCAUGUGACUUUUCCUAUGUUUUAGUGUGAUUCUGAAUCUUGUUGGUAGCUACUGGAGUUGUAUAAUUUUAAAUAGGUAUUUUUUUGGCAAUGUUUGAGCUACCAAACUAUUUUUAACAAGUUUGCAGAUGCAAUCUGAAUCGUGUAGGCAUAGAUCUUUGUAGAGUAAUCAAUACUUUCUUACUGUAAAGUUCGUGCUGACAUUCCAAAACCAAUUAAUCUAAAUGUCCAAAAUAGAGAUUCACAGAAUUGUGCAGAAUGGAGAUGAAGCCGGGUCCCACACGUGUACAAAAAAUUGGCAACAAAAUUGCGGGCCCCACAUGAUUGUGUCUUUCCUAUAAGAAUUCUGUAAGCCAAGCAAAGCUCUUCCAAAAUCAAAGGUUUGGUUUCCCAUCUUUUCUGUCAUCUGAAGCAUCUUGUCUUCUUGUUGUGCAGGAAUGUUUGCCCCUCUUGUGGUGCUUUUACGCAAUCCUUUGGCGAAGGAACAGUUGGCUACUCAGAUUCUAACUGUAAUUCUUUUUUAUCUUUGUUUUGUUGCACAAAAGUUACAUAUUUACUAACUUGUAAAUGGAAUUGUAUAAUAUUACUCAAUUCAUCUGCUUUGUUUGGUGGAUCAAAUGUUCUAUCAUUAGUCUUAAGUUCAAGGAGCAAUAGCAGAUGAGCAAGCUUAGGCCUGUGGAUUAUGCGUUGAAAGAGCUUUUGACACUUCACUUUAGAUGCACUUUAGAUGGAAGGACCUAUUUCCAUGAUAAAAUCUAGAGUAUAAGACAUUAUUCCUAAGUGAAGAAUGCACAUUUCCUAUUGUUUAUCCUACUGCAUGUACCAUACAAUUUUACUUCUUGAUCCACAAGAAAUGUAGAACAUCUAAUAUUGUUCUUAUCUACUACUGUAUUGUGUUAUUAAUUCAUAAAAUUUAUAUUUAAAUAAUUGAAGUGGU
This 979-nucleotide long non-coding RNA is filed under the name Olea europaea subsp. europaea. The record is from RNAcentral. Lineage: Eukaryota; Viridiplantae; Streptophyta; Magnoliopsida; Lamiales; Oleaceae.